GCUGUCUGCAGCCUCGCUCUGGCUCGCGCCGCGCCCCCGCGCGGAGUCCGCGCGUCAGUCGGUCCCUUGCGCGGCUCUGGGACGGCGGGUUGCAGCCAGCAGAGCGCGCUGACUCCGGGAGGCGGCGGAGUCCCCGGGCGGCUCGUGAAGAGGCUCUGAGCCCGAAGACUCGCACAGCGUGAUGGCCCCCAUUGGCCUCAAAGCCGUGGUCGGAGAGAAGAUUAUGCAUGAUGUGAUAAAGAAGGUGAAGAAGAAGGGGGAGUGGAAGGUGCUGGUGGUGGAUCAGCUGAGCAUGCGGAUGCUGUCCUCCUGCUGUAAGAUGACGGACAUCAUGACCGAGGGGAUAACAAUUGUGGAAGAUAUCAACAAGUGCAGGGAACCACUGCCCAGCCUGGAGGCUGUGUAUCUCAUCACUCCAUCUGAGAAGUCUGUCCGCUCUCUCGUCAGUGACUUUAAAGACCCACCAACCGCCAAGUACCGGGCUGCGCACGUCUUCUUCACUGAUUCUUGUCCAGAUGCCCUGUUUAACGAGCUCGUAAAGUCUCGAGCAGCCAAAGUCAUCAAAACUCUGACGGAAAUCAACAUUGCAUUUCUCCCCUAUGAAUCCCAGGUGUAUUCCCUGGACUCUGCUGACUCUUUCCAAAGCUUCUACAGUCCCCACAAGGCUCAGAUGAAGAAUCCUAUACUGGAGCGCCUGGCAGAGCAGAUCGCAACUCUGUGUGCCACCCUGAAAGAGUACCCAGCUGUGCGGUACCGGGGGGAAUACAAGGACAAUGCUUUGCUGGCUCAGCUAAUCCAGGACAAACUCGACGCCUACAAAGCCGAUGACCCAACCAUGGGGGAGGGCCCGGACAAGGCUCGCUCGCAGCUCCUGAUCCUGGACCGUGGAUUCGAUCCCUGUUCCCCAGUACUGCAUGAACUGACUUUUCAGGCCAUGAGUUACGAUCUGCUGCCUAUUGAGAAUGACGUAUACAAGUAUGAGACGAGUGGCAUCGGAGAGGCACGGGUGAAGGAAGUGCUUCUGGACGAGGACGACGACCUGUGGAUAACCCUACGCCACAAGCACAUUGCAGAGGUGUCCCAGGAAGUCACCCGUUCUCUGAAAGAUUUUUCUUCUAGCAAGAGAAUGAACACUGGAGAGAAGACCACCAUGCGGGACCUGUCCCAGAUGCUGAAGAAAAUGCCCCAGUACCAGAAGGAGCUCAGCAAGUAUUCGACCCACCUGCACCUUGCUGAGGACUGCAUGAAGCAUUACCAAGGCACCGUGGAUAAGCUCUGCCGCGUGGAGCAGGACCUGGCCAUGGGCACGGAUGCCGAAGGGGAGAAGAUCAAGGACCCCAUGAGAGCCAUCGUCCCCAUUCUGCUGGAUGCAAACGUCAGCACUUACGACAAAAUCCGCAUCAUCCUUCUCUACAUCUUCCUGAAGAAUGGCAUCACUGAGGAAAACCUGAACAAACUGAUCCAGCAUGCCCAGAUCCCCCCGGAGGACAGUGAGAUCAUCACCAACAUGGCCCAUCUCGGGGUGCCCAUCGUGACAGACUCCACGUUGCGUCGCAGGAGCAAGCCAGAACGGAAGGAGCGCAUCAGUGAGCAGACCUACCAGCUCUCACGGUGGACCCCGAUUAUUAAGGACAUCAUGGAGGACACUAUUGAGGACAAACUGGACACCAAGCACUACCCUUAUAUCUCUACCCGCUCCUCUGCCUCCUUUAGCACCACGGCUGUCAGCGCCCGCUAUGGGCACUGGCAUAAGAAUAAGGCCCCCGGGGAGUACCGCAGUGGGCCCCGCCUCAUCAUUUUCAUCCUGGGGGGCGUGAGCCUGAAUGAGAUGCGGUGUGCUUACGAGGUGACGCAGGCCAACGGAAAGUGGGAGGUGCUGAUAGGUGAGUAGGCCCGUUUUCUCGCGGGAAGGGGCUGCUUCACCGCACUUUGACUCCAUUCCAUGCUUUGGUGUUUCAUUCUGUUUCCAACUCUCCAUGGCCCCGGCACAACUAGUCUCUAGAGCCGUUUGUGGAUGGCACAAGCUAAGGGGCGAAGGCUUCCUUCCUCAUGUCUACACCGUCUCUUGAUGGGAGGCAGAUGCGUGUAGAGGGAAGUGCUUGACCCCAGACUCCAUCAGCCCCAGGCUCACUGCUCUGCCUCCGCCCUGCGGCCUCGUGGAACCAGGGCGCCACCUUCGCAGACUGCGAUUUCCUUACUCAACCUAAUGGGCUUAGAACACCCACUUACAGCCCCGAACCAGGCCUGAGGUGGGACUUGUCAGUGUCCCGGCGUUGGGCCUCACACCCAGAAGGUGCUCACUGAGAGGAAGUUACAUUGUGACCCGCUCUUUAUCUGUCCAGUCGGAGAUGGACAGACGUGUGCGAGCAGAUGUUACCCAAAACCUAUCAGCCUGACUGCUGGACUCUGCUAAGGGUUCCCACCAACCUGGACCUACUGCUUCCUGGGUCUUUCACACCCUUUCUGGUAUUUCCUGUUUGUUUUCCAGAAGAAAGGAAGCAACUCAUAAGAGCUGACUUAAUGCAGCAGGAGGAGAUUUUUCUCCCUUUAUAUGCCUGUAGGAGCUUCCACAAUUUCUAGGCCUUCCUUUUUGUCCCAUCUUGCCCUUAAUAAAACGGUUUAGCACGCUACCAGGUACAUUUUGACUUUGAUGGGCAAGAGGUUCUCAGCACAUUACUACCCUGGCCAGGUUCUGUCCUUUUCCCCUUACCUUAAGAAGAUGUGUCAAUUUUAUUCCCCCCCUUGAGGGUGACCAAGUCUCAGUGCCCUCCCCAUCCCCCCCAGGCUCUCAGAGCAAGCAGGUUUACAGCCCAGUCCAUAUGGCCAUUCCUGGGUGUCUCAACAUGGACCUGGCACUGUUGGCCACCUUCUGAAUACCACCAUUUAGUGGGGAGAUUGGACAUCCCGCCUGCCCGCUCCCUAAAGCUUCCCCUGUCUGGUUGCCGUUGGUCCUUGUAUUGCUUCUUCCUUUCUGUUACGUAGGCCCCGUGAUUAAGCGCUCCCUGUUCCCUGCUUGCAUAUGUGUUGCAUGCAUGUGUUGGAUAAUUCUCAGCUCAAACACAGCUUUCCUGGGCAGAAGCUGUCUUAACCAGGCUCGGGGGUAAAUGUCCCUCUGCAGCUCUGGCCCUGGCCUGAGGUUCUCUGUUGGGAGGUGGCAACCUGGGGAGAUCAAGUGGCCCAUGCGGAUUCACGGAGGGGCCUCACGCAGACAGCCGACGUCCGCUGUGUGGACUGACCUGCUUUGUGCAUGCCAGCCAUCCUGCAGUGUGUGUGCGUGUGUGUGUGCAUGCGUGUGCCCGUCUUGCUUUCUCAUACCUCAUUGGCUGUGUAAAAUGUAGGCCUAAGUUGGCAUGUUCCUGUAACGUACCUUUGUUCAAGCAGUCAGCUGGCCUCUGUUCUCCCGCAGGUUCUACUCAUAUUCUUACUCCCACCAAAUUUCUCAUGGACCUGAGACACCCCGACUUCAGGGAGUCCUCUAGGGUAUCUUUUGAGGAUCAGGCUCCAACAAUGGAGUGAGAGCCAAAGAAACAAAGAUCCACGCACAUUCUCACCCCACAGAAACUGCUGGACACGCUGAAGAAACUGAAUAAAACAGAUGAAGAAAUAAGUAGUUAAAAAAAUAAGCCGCCCCUCCAAAAACCGAGCCUUCUUCCCCAGUGCUCCGCAGCCCCUGCCGCUGACCUGACUGCCUUGGUUACUUUGCUGACCCCUCUCCCUCCAUCCCUCCCAGCUCUGCACGCCCUGGCCGGCACUGUGCCGCUGCGUUCUCAUGUUAAAUGAUGCCCUCUCCUCCUUGGAAACAAAAGAAAAGAAUGCAUAGUGUUUUUUAAAAAGAGUUAGCUUCUGUAUGUAUCCUAAGAGGAGAAGUUCGCGUGUAAGUGGCACGCUGCUGGGGAAGUUUCGGAACUGUUUGAAUGAAUGGACACCUUCUCCCUGUUGGUUAUGAUUCCGUGACCUUGUACAUAACCCAGUACGAAUUGUGCAAAUUGCUUGAGUAUGGGAAGUUAGAUGCUUGGGUGUUUUUCAAAACCAGCCUUGGAUUGUUCCUGUUCUUGUUGAGACUCAUAGAGAUGUCUGUUCUGGGAGUGUUUCAAACUGAGGAUUAAUCUGUUCUCUUCACUGCAGUUCCUACCCCUCAGUGCCUGCUCUUCCAGAUAAACUUGGAAGUGAAGAUCAGGUGGCAUCCUGGGAGGUUUGAGCUGGAACCCACCUCUUUGCUUUCCCCAGGGGCUCGUCCCUCCGGUGCUGUGGCUGUGGGUGGCGAUGGGGUGUCCACAUGAAGUCAGGCUGGGUGCCAGGCGGUACCCAGCCUGGCCCGUGUCCACAGCGCUGGGAUCCUGGGGGAGUCAUUCUAUAGUCCAGGUCACCCUGCCCGGAGAGACAAGUGAGGAGCAGGCUCCCUCUGGGAACCUUCGUCUCUUGGAGAAGCGCUUAGGCCUGCUCCUUCGACCGGACUCCUUCCUUCCCCAGGCAUCACGCCCAUCACCUCUUUCUUAGUGGGGUCAGCCUGGGGUAAAGCUCAAGGGUCGGGAAUGGACUAGAACAGAAUGGGUUCUGCGGGCUGCUGGUCAGAGGGCCCAUCCCCUCAGACGUCACGUAGCUGGAAGACUAGCCCGUUGGAUUUAUACAGACCUUUUCCCACUCAGAUUAGCCUCAGUUUAAGAUACUUCAUAAUACUUUAUUUUUUGUAGUGUGGGGUCUAUGUUGUCGUGCUUGUAAGAGUAAAUGAUCAUUUUAUUCUCUGUAUAAAAACUUAGCUGUACAAAAUGUAGCUCUAAUGCAAAAAUUAAAGAAGCAAAUGCAGGCAGGAUGGCUCGUCAUCCUCAAGACUCAGCAGUUCUCAUUCUCCGGGAGUGAGUACCAUUUGUUCUGCUGCUGUUGUCCUGAAAUAUAAUGACAGUGGAAGUCACAAAAAUGUCCCCUGCCCGGCCCCCUCCCCCGCCACCCUCGAACUCCUGCAGACCAUGUGUAUAUCACUGUCUCGUGAUGUCAUUGCAAAUGUGCUGUAUGCUAGUUAACACCCCCCAACACCGCUUUCCUUCCAGAAUAGGUUCCUCGCCCGCCUGACAGAUGCGUUGUGGUGUUCUCUUCUCAAGGCUUUGAAAUGUCCCUUUUGCGCUCAGAUUAGUUUUCAGGUCUGUCUCCCUUCUCCCCCUUAAGAUAUCGAUCUUAUUUCCUUAGGACAGAACUGUAGGUACUUGCAUUGGUUUGUUUCUUACUGUUACUGCUUGUUUUGUCCCUUCCCCUUGACCAAACGAUGCUCAUGCUUCAGACCUCGUUUGUCAAACAUGUUGGUUUUUCCUUUGUCUGUUAUUUAUAUAAAAAUAAUUUAUCAAAAGGAUAUUUUAAAAAAGCUAGUCUGUCUUGAAACUUGUUUACCUUGAAAUUAUCAGAAUCUCAGUGUUUAAAAGUAUUGAAGCACAAACAUGUAUAAUCUCUGUACUGUUCUGUACUAAAGCACUCGAGUCUAAUAAAUAAAUCAGCGCCCAUUCAGUGUCCA
RNA transcript from Rhinolophus ferrumequinum (greater horseshoe bat), 5500 nucleotides. It is a transcript of the gene named syntaxin binding protein 1, with no coding region annotated. NCBI's taxonomy places the organism in Eukaryota, Metazoa, Chordata, Mammalia, Chiroptera, Rhinolophidae. The record is from RefSeq and is a predicted model, not a curated record. The transcript is spliced from 19 exons.